CCGCCUGGGGAGUACGGCCGCAAGGUUAAAACUCAAAUGAAUUGACGGGGGCCCGCACAAGCGGUGGAGCAUGUGGUUUAAUUCGAUGCAACGCGAAGAACCUUACCUGGUCUUGACAUCCACAGAAGAAUCCAGAGAUGGAUUUGUGCCUUCGGGAACUGUGAGACAGGUGCUGCAUGGCUGUCGUCAGCUCGUGUUGUGAAAUGUUGGGUUAAGUCCCGCAACGAGCGCAACCCUUAUCCUUUGUUGCCAGCGGU
RNAcentral lists this ribosomal RNA (257 nucleotides) under Salmonella enterica subsp. enterica serovar Indiana. RNAcentral describes it as "partial 16S ribosomal RNA". It matches the Rfam family "Bacterial small subunit ribosomal RNA", at positions 869 to 1125 of the family's 1533-position model. Lineage: Bacteria; Pseudomonadati; Pseudomonadota; Gammaproteobacteria; Enterobacterales; Enterobacteriaceae. The record is from RNAcentral. RNAcentral also lists the same sequence under 1 other name.